AUUCAUUCAUUCAUUCAUUACCCUUAAAAAUGCUGAAAAUAAUAGUACACAGCCAAUUCAACCUUAAAGUCCCAAAUCUAUGUUAUUUCACAGGCACUGCAAACAUGCUGCGCCAUUAUAUUUGAAUUGCUUAAAUUAACCAACGGGUGCGCAUCUGAAAUUGAACCAAUAAAAACAAAGUCUGCACUUGCAUGCGUGCCAGGGUGUAAAUGUCAAGUUCUUUUAAAGUUUUAACUAUUCCAUAAACUCCUAAAAGGUCGCAGCAAUGUAUCAUAUAUUACUGUCAGGACACAUUCAUUAAGAGUGAUAACUGAAUUGUUAGCUAAGAAGUAUUUGCAUUUUGCAUUGUAGCGUCAUAAGGGAUCAACUACUUGCUGGAGAUUUUGCUACAACAAUGAAACUUCUACAGAAUUACCCAGAUAUUGAUAUCCACACAAUUCUCUCCAAAGCAAUCGAACUCAAACGUCCAAGAGUAGUGGCACCCAAUCCUCCACCAACACAUCCAAGGCAGAAAGCUGGGUUCCAGUUCAAGAAGAGAUGACAACUGUUUGAUAAUACCAUGUCAUUUUUAAGUUCUCUAUCUGCCUUUUUAUAGCAAAAUUAAUGUCUACUAGAGACGUUUCAAGAAUGCGAGACCACGUUAUUACACGAACGAUGUCUUCCUACAGUGCCAAAUUCUCUCUAUAAGAAUUAUAGAAAAUAUAUUAAAAUCAGUGGGGAGAAUAAGGAAGUUGAUCUUGUGACUAAAUACGUCAUUUUCGUAUAGAAUAAAUUAUAUUGUGCAUCCCAAAAGUUGGGAGGGAAGAUUUCUAAGGGGAACGAGAAGGACAACUUUUUGCUAUGUCUCUUUGCUAUCUACCAAAAACCAUACUGAACUUUUUAAAGUUUUGUCAGUGUUUUGGGUUAACUUUCCGAAGAACGUAAUUUCAUCCUGUUUCAAUCACUUUAACCUCUGUUACUGUGGAUCAGAAAAUGGAGGGAAAACUCUAAGCUCAUUUCUAUGGAAACAUGUCAUGUUGCUUGAUAACGAAACUACCCCGGAGAAAUUUGUCGGUUCAUUUUAAUCUCAGACAUGACAUGUUUGUAGAUCCUCUGUUCAUUUGGGGCAAAAAGUUUCAUAUUCUAAUUUAUGAUAUCCUGGUUAUGAUUUGUCUCCUGUGUACCCAUGUUUAGUAUGGAAUCAGAGCUGUGAUUGGCUAAAACUUAAAGUGGCAUGCAUUAGAUACUAGACAUUAGCCAUUAGCUUCUCCAGAUGGAACCAGAGCUGUGAUUGGCUAAAACAUUGGGAGGCAUACAGUACCAUUUAGACAUUAGCCAUUAGACAUUACAAUUAAUGACCUUCCUUGAAAAAAAAAUUCCAGUUUAAGUUCCUCCUUGAAUGCUCUUGUUGGCAUUCUUUAGUCAUGAGAAGAGGAACACAUAGUGCUGAUUGAAAAUUAAUUUGUUGGUGUGCGGUGCAAGUUAAAGUGUAGAGAUCAGAGUAUAUAUGAUAGUACAGAUGUUAAUAUGAAUUUGAGGACGGAUAGCCGUUCAUAAUUGAUUUCCGGUGACUUGUUUCUCGUUGUCAUGGAAAAUGGACAUUCCAUUUUGUGCCAUUGUUCGCCUCCUUACAAAGUUCUGGGAUUAAAGAUCAUCCGGAAAAUAAAGGUUGGGAAUCGAAUGGUCUACUUUUUGUAAAAAAAAAA
Orbicella faveolata is the source of this 1685-nucleotide long non-coding RNA. Lineage: Eukaryota; Metazoa; Cnidaria; Anthozoa; Scleractinia; Merulinidae. The record is from RefSeq and is a predicted model, not a curated record.